GCCAGGCAUGGUAGUGCAUGCCUGUAAUCUUAGCUACUCAGGAGGCUGAGGCAGGAGGAUGGCUCGAGCCUAGGAGUUCGAGGCUGCAGUGAGCUAUGAUGGUGCCACUGCACGCCAGCCUGGGCUACAGAUCAAGACCUUGUCUUAA
Molecule: unclassified non-coding RNA, 148 nt
Organism: Macaca fascicularis (crab-eating macaque)
Lineage: Eukaryota; Metazoa; Chordata; Mammalia; Primates; Cercopithecidae
Rfam family: Metazoan signal recognition particle RNA
About the family: The signal recognition particle (SRP) is a universally conserved ribonucleoprotein. It is involved in the co-translational targeting of proteins to membranes. The eukaryotic SRP consists of a 300-nucleotide 7S RNA and six proteins: SRPs 72, 68, 54, 19, 14, and 9.
Source: Ensembl